Molecule: ribosomal RNA, 462 nt
Filed under: uncultured bacterium
Lineage: Bacteria
Description: bacterial SSU rRNA
Rfam family: Bacterial small subunit ribosomal RNA
Source: RNAcentral
AGCGAACGCUGGCGGCAUGCCUAACACAUGCAAGUCGAGCGCUCCCAGCAAUGGGGGAGCGGCGGACGGGUGAGUAACGCGUAGGAACGUAUCCUGAGGUGGGGGAUAACCCUGGGAAACUAGGGCUAAUACCGCAUGAUGGCGAGAGCCCAAAGAUUUAUCGCCUUGGGAGCGGCCUGCGUCUGAUUAGCUUGUUGGUGGGGUAACGGCCCACCAAGGCAACGAUGGAUAGGGGGAACUGAGAGGUUUAUCCCCCACACUGGUACUGAGACACGGACCAGACUCCUACGGGAGGCAGCAGUGAGGAAUAUUGGUCAAUGGACGCAAGUCUGAACCAGCCACGUCGCGUGAAGGAAGACGGCCCUACGGGUUGUAAAGCUCUUUCGGCCGGGAAGAAAUCGCAUUCUCUAACAUAGGAUGUGGAUGACGGUACCGGACUAAGAAGCACCGGCUAACUACGUG